This 237-nucleotide long non-coding RNA is filed under the name Lathyrus oleraceus (garden pea). RNAcentral's name for it is "Pisum sativum (pea) long non-coding RNA (PSAT_LNC016209)". Lineage: Eukaryota; Viridiplantae; Streptophyta; Magnoliopsida; Fabales; Fabaceae. The record is from RNAcentral.
GAUGGUGGUUCUUUUGGCAGUCAUGUUUUAAUGCCUUGAUGUAUUUUUUGGGUUCUUUUUGUUUUUUUUGGAUUUUUAUCUCAGCUUGUAAAGCUGUGUAUGUUUAUGGAUUUGUAAUACCUAACAAUAUAAUUUGACAUUCUGUGUGACACUCUGUGUUUCUAAUAGACAUUUAUUUUGUCUCAUUGGUCUCUUUGAUCUCUUUUGGCUAAAAAGGGGGAGAAGUAGCUAAAGGAG